Molecule: long non-coding RNA, 304 nt
Filed under: Mus spicilegus (steppe mouse)
Lineage: Eukaryota; Metazoa; Chordata; Mammalia; Rodentia; Muridae
Description: lncRNA (ENSMSIG00000019802.1)
Rfam family: SMAD5 antisense RNA 1 conserved region 2 (bases 51-177)
Source: RNAcentral
CAGCUUUUGUCUCUGCCCCGGUCCCGGUGGUUCCCUUGGGCAUGCGUGCCCAAGUUCAGACUCCAUCCCCUCCCCCUGCCCUUUCUCCUCUGCGCUUCUGGCUGCGCCGAGCCGGGAACCCUAAGCUCUGGGAACUUCCCCGGUGGCGGCCGUCUUAGGGUCAGAGCAUGCUCAGUGGCCCGGACUUUUCGGUUGCAGAAGGAGCUGGCGGGGAUGGUCGAGGUAUUUGGAGGUGUUGAAGGCACUGUAGAUCCCAUGGUUUCCCAGCAUGCUUCCAAGACGUCAGGUACUGGAUACGUUCUCC